GGAAUCUUCCACAAUGGACGAAAGUCUGAUGGAGCAACGCCGCGUGAGUGAAGAAGGUUUUCGGAUCGUAAAGCUCUGUUGUAAGAGAAGAACGUGUGUGAGAGUGGAAAGUUCACACAGUGACGGUAACUUACCAGAAAGGGACGGCUAACUACGUGCCAGCAGCCGCGGUAAUACGUAGGUCCCGAGCGUUGUCCGGCUUUAUUGGGCGUAAAGCGAGCGCAGGCGGUUUCUUAAGUCUGAUGUGAAAGCCUUCGGCUUAACCGAAGAAGUGCAUCGGAAACUGGGAAACUUGAGUGCAGAAGAGGACAGUCGAACUCCAUGUGUAGCGGUGAAAUGCGUAGAUAUAUGGAAGAACACCAGUGGCGAAGGCGGCUGUCUGGUCUGUAACUGACGCUGAGGCUCGAAAGCAUGGGUAGCGAACA
RNAcentral lists this ribosomal RNA (425 nucleotides) under uncultured bacterium. RNAcentral's name for it is "bacterial SSU rRNA". It matches the Rfam family "Bacterial small subunit ribosomal RNA", at positions 358 to 774 of the family's 1533-position model. The record is from RNAcentral.